UACGGGGGGAGCAAGCGUUGUUCGGAUUUACUGGGCGUAAAGGGCGCGUAGGCGGUCAGCACAGGUCAGUUGUGAAAUCUCCGGGCUUAACUCGGAAAGGUCAACUGAUACUGUGCGACUAGAGUGCAGAAGGGGCAACUGGAAUUCUCGGUGUAGCGGUGAAAUGCGUAGAUAUCGAGAGGAACACCUGCGGCGAAGGCGGGUUGCUGGGCUGACACUGACGCUGAGGCACGAAGGUCAGGGGAGCAAACGGG
This 254-nucleotide ribosomal RNA is filed under the name uncultured bacterium. Its description in RNAcentral is "partial 16S ribosomal RNA". It matches the Rfam family "Bacterial small subunit ribosomal RNA", at positions 524 to 776 of the family's 1533-position model. The record is from RNAcentral.